RNAcentral lists this transfer RNA (147 nucleotides) under Endocarpon pusillum. RNAcentral's name for it is "tRNA-Und (NNN) (tRNA-Und-NNN-5-1)". The record is from RNAcentral. Lineage: Eukaryota; Fungi; Ascomycota; Eurotiomycetes; Verrucariales; Verrucariaceae.
GGCUCAGUGGUCUAGUGGUAGGAGUUCGUGACAUUUGCCAUUAAUAAUGUAUCUCAUCUGACUCAUCUUUAGUUGUCGCUUCGGGUGGAAUCCCUGCAAAAAACUUGCAAAUGUGACAGGUCCCGCGUUCAAUCCGCGGCUGAGCCC